GAUGAAGAACGUAGCGAAAUGCGACAAGUAAUGUGAAUUGCAGAAUUCCGUGAAUCAUCGAGUCUUUGAACGCACAUUGCGCCCCCUGGUAUUCCGGGGGGCAUGCCUGUCCGAGCGUCAUUGCUGCCCUCAAGCACGGCUUGUGUGUUGGGCCUCCGUCCUCCUCCCGGGGGACGGGCCCGAAAGGCAGCGGCGGCACCGCGUCCGGUCCUCGAGCGUAUGGGGCUUCGUCACCCGCUCUUGUAGGCCCGGUCGGCGCUUGCCGACACAUCAAUCUUUUUUCCAGGUUGACCUCGGAUCAGGUAGGGAUACCCGCUGAACUUAAGCAUAUCAAUAAGCGGAGGA
RNAcentral lists this unclassified non-coding RNA (345 nucleotides) under soil metagenome. RNAcentral's name for it is "partial contains 5.8S ribosomal RNA, internal transcribed spacer 2, and large subunit ribosomal RNA". The stretch from base 1 to 120 matches the Rfam family "5.8S ribosomal RNA", at positions 35 to 154 of the family's 154-position model. The record is from RNAcentral.